RNAcentral lists this ribosomal RNA (253 nucleotides) under uncultured bacterium. RNAcentral's name for it is "partial 16S ribosomal RNA". It matches the Rfam family "Bacterial small subunit ribosomal RNA", at positions 524 to 776 of the family's 1533-position model. The record is from RNAcentral.
UACGGAGGGUGCAAACGUUGCUCGGAAUUAUUGGGCGUAAAGCGCACGUAGGCGGUUUGUUAAGUCGGAUGUGAAAUCCCUCGGCUCAACUGAGGAAGUGCAUCCGAAACUGGCAAGCUUGAGUACGAAAGAGGGUCGCGGAAUUCCCGGUGUAGAGGUGAAAUUCGUAGAUAUCGGGAGGAACACCGGUGGCGAAGGCGGCGACCUGGGUCGAUACUGACGCUGAGGCGCGAAAGCGUGGGGAGCAAACAGG